Molecule: ribosomal RNA, 253 nt
Filed under: uncultured bacterium
Lineage: Bacteria
Description: partial 16S ribosomal RNA
Rfam family: Bacterial small subunit ribosomal RNA
Source: RNAcentral
UACGUAGGUGGCAAGCGUUGUCCGGAUUUAUUGGGUUUAAAGGGUGCGUAGGCGGUCAUAUAAGUCAGUGGUGAAAUCCGGCAGCUCAACUGUCGAUGUGCCAUUGAUACUGCAUGACUUGAGUACAGACGAGGUAGGCGGAAUUGACGGUGUAGCGGUGAAAUGCUUAGAUAUCGUCAAGAACACCGAUAGCGAAGGCAGCUUACUAGACUGUAACUGACGCUGAUGCACGAAAGUGUGGGGAUCAAACAGG